This 279-nucleotide ribosomal RNA is filed under the name uncultured bacterium. RNAcentral's name for it is "partial 16S ribosomal RNA". It matches the Rfam family "Bacterial small subunit ribosomal RNA", at positions 541 to 819 of the family's 1533-position model. The record is from RNAcentral.
UUAUCCGGAUUUAUUGGGCGUAAAGGGCUCGUAGGCGGCUCGUCGCGUCCGGUGUGAAAGUCCAUCGCUUAACGGUGGAUCUGCGCCGGGUACGGGCGGGCUGGAGUGCGGUAGGGGAGACUGGAAUUCCCGGUGUAACGGUGGAAUGUGUAGAUAUCGGGAAGAACACCGAUGGCGAAGGCAGGUCUCUGGGCCGUCACUGACGCUGAGGAGCGAAAGCGUGGGGAGCGAACAGGAUUAGAUACCCUGGUAGUCCACGCCGUAAACGGUGGACGCUGG